Molecule: ribosomal RNA, 468 nt
Filed under: uncultured bacterium
Lineage: Bacteria
Description: partial 16S ribosomal RNA
Rfam family: Bacterial small subunit ribosomal RNA
Source: RNAcentral
GACGAACGCUGGCGGCGUGCUUAACACAUGCAAGUCGAACGGAAAGGCCCUGCUUUUGUGGGGUGCUCGAGUGGCGAACGGGUGAGUAACACGUGAGUAACCUGCCCUUGACUUUGGGAUAACUUCAGGAAACUGGGGCUAAUACCGGAUAGGAGCUCCUGCUGCAUGGUGGGGGUUGGAAAGUUUCGGCGGUUGGGGAUGGACUCGCGACUUAUCAGCUUGUUGGUGGGGUAGUGGCUUACCAAGGCUUUGACGGGUAGCCGGCCUGAGAGGGUGACCGGCCACAUUGGGACUGAGAUACGGCCCAGACUCCUACGGGAGGCAGCAGUGGGGAAUAUUGCACAAUGGGCGGAAGCCUGAUGCAGCAACGCCGCGUGCGGGAUGACGGCCUUCGGGUUGUAAACCGCUUUCGCCUGUGACGAAGCGUGAGUGGCGGUAAUGGGUAAAGAAGCACCGGCUAACUACGUG